UACAUGAGCAUAGUUUUCUACAGAUGUUUAAUCCAGCUUACUAUGGCUUGGACAAUACUGAACCUGAAGUUCUCAGCUCUUAUUUGUCUAGGUUAGUGCAAAACACAUUUGAGGAUCUGGAAGACAGUGGAUGCAUCAAGAUGAAUGAAGACAAUGUAGAGCCAACGAUGCUGGGUUCAAUAGCAUCCCAGUAUUAUCUUAGCUACAUGA
Molecule: non-coding RNA, 210 nt
Organism: Prunus avium (sweet cherry)
Lineage: Eukaryota; Viridiplantae; Streptophyta; Magnoliopsida; Rosales; Rosaceae
Source: RefSeq, a predicted model, not a curated record